AGGGCAUGGGAAUGACGCAGAGCUCCUUGCGAAUUCACCAGUCCUCCUAUCGCGACCCGAGGGGGCUUGGAAGAGGGUCGGCCGCACAAGAGGAGCUCGGCGAGAUGCGCUCCUUGACGCCAGGGUGGCUGGGGCUUUCCCGACGCAUUUAGAUCGAAAAGAGGCAUGCGGGGCGGGGCUAGGAAUUUUAUAUGGGCUCGGUUGGGCGCUUAAACUAGGAAAUCGCAGAGAGCCCAGGAUCGAUUGCCAUCGGGGUGUCUGGCUCAGCGACGGCAGAGGAAGGAGAUGACGCUGUGCGGUGGGGUCGGCUCGUCAGCGAGAGAAGGAGAGGGCCCCAGCUGUCGGCCGGAGAAACGGGAGAGAGGGGAGGCGCGCGUUGCCUGGCGAGCUAGGCCGAAACACGAGCUGGGGAAAGCUGGGUCGCGGGGGGAAAAAAAGCUGGGCCUCGGCCUGGUUUCCAGGGUGGUUUUCCCCUUUUUCUUUUUUUUUUCUUUUCUAUUUUAUUUUUCCAAAGCCUUUUCUAAAUAGAAGUUUGAAUGCAAAUAAAUUCUCACAAAAAAACAGCAAGCAUAGAAUAAGAUGUGCUCCAGC
RNAcentral lists this long non-coding RNA (591 nucleotides) under Sorghum bicolor (sorghum). Its description in RNAcentral is "long non-coding RNA (SBIC_LNC003403)". Lineage: Eukaryota; Viridiplantae; Streptophyta; Magnoliopsida; Poales; Poaceae. The record is from RNAcentral.